Long non-coding RNA from Odocoileus virginianus texanus, 1544 nucleotides. RefSeq lists it as uncharacterized. NCBI's taxonomy places the organism in Eukaryota, Metazoa, Chordata, Mammalia, Artiodactyla, Cervidae. The record is from RefSeq and is a predicted model, not a curated record.
UUACCUGUUCAAUGCCAGGAAUUAUGGACCUUGUGGUUCACGUUUUCCUCUGUAACAGGGGCAUCUUCCUCACCUCCCCAUUGGCUACCCCAGAAUUCUGACAAAACAUCUACCAUGUUGCUAUAAGUCACUUGGCCUUCCAUGAUGUUCACAGUUCCAGGGAGUCUCAAGCCAAGUGCUCCCCGGAGCACACAAUGAGAACUGCUUUUGAAGCGCAGAGAGAGCUGAGAUGAGAGGCGACUCGGGGGGCUCUUGAGCCAGGAGUGUGGCCUCGAGGGGGUGGGGAUGGGGUGCCACCAGCAGGGCUGACCACGCCCAGGGACGUCCUCAUGAUUGGCUCCUACUCAGCCGUUAGGCCAGCUGCCAGGCAUCAGCCGGGCGUCUUGUCAGAGAUGGGUUCCCAGAACCCUGCUAAGGAAGCAGCCAUGAUGCUGGACGGGGGUGUGGGGGUGUCUCUCCCUGCUGCCGGGGCCCAGCGCAGGUGGUGGUGAUAGGAUGCCCACACCCCUCCUCCCCACGCCCCCGAAGCCUCUCACUGCAACAGGCAUCUCUGUGGAUUUCUGAGAACCAGAGGUCUUGGCCUGUCACACCAAUAAGGGCCACUUCCUCCUGUUGGCACUUGGAUUCGGCUGGACUGAUCUAGAGUGAUGACACUGGGGCUCGGGGUGGACAUGGGAUGAGGGGACGUGCUAGGCAGGCCUCCCGCACGGCCCCCAGUUUCAGGGUUUCAUCCAUGGGGGACACGCUUUCCUGACUCUGACUGACCGCAGCCCUGCUCCACCAUUGGGACACUUCAUUCCUGUCCCCACACUAAAGGCAGCGAAGAUGGGGCUGGAUUCCACUCCACCCUCACAGCAGUCUGUCUCCAAUUCUGAGUUCUCAAUCAGAACGUGGUGUCGGCCUUCCACGGAAACGGUGGUCCGCAGCUCUUCUUUGUUACUUCCAGCCACUCUGAGAGAACUGUCUGGCUCUCCACUUUAUAUUUAAUCUACACUUGAACUUCAGUCCCUGAGACUCAUGAGAUCUAAGAGCUGAUGUGCCAUUUCGUACCACCCAGAAGUUUAAGCGGGGGUGUCUGCCCAGCAACAAGACCUGAGAGAGGGUGGGGACACAUUCUACACAGAGAAAUGGCAAGAACAGAAUCAGAGAAUGGUGAAAAUGUGCAAGAAGAAUGCCAGUGGUUCUGCAGAGCGAGCCUGGACCUUACGGGGCAGAAGUGGAGAUGGAAUUCUAGGCAAAACCCAGGGAAUAUUGAGCAUCGCUGGGCGCUCGAACAAGAUGGAGGGAAAUGGAGAACAAGUAACAUGCUCACGGGCUUCAUGACCCACAGUGCAGAGUGGGUACACUGGACUGAACUGUCUCCCUCACACCCCUCUCUCCAGCCACUCAACUCCUCGCCCUGGAAACUAUCUCAUCUGCUUCUCAGGUCGCCUUUCUGAUAUGCCCAUGGUUUACACAGUAUAUAUGUAUGCAGUUUCCCCUGCAACCUUCUUUAUUAAAACAGACGGUAGGACAUAAAACAUACUUUUGAUUCUUUCACCCUG